CCGGGGCUCGGAGAUCGGGCCGGAGGUCGGCGCCUGGGGCCGGAUCGGCGCCGACGGUCGAAUCAAGUUAAACAGUACCUUCAGAGAGAGAGAGACGGAGAGAGAAAAUGUUAUCACUUCAAUUUCACUUAAACUAUCUCCAAAUAUAGAAGGUCCAGAAAGAUAACAACACAAUGUGGUAAAUCAAGAUAAUAAGCAACCAAUAUAACUAUUAUAUGAAGACAAAUGAUUAAUAAUAUGAAAGAUUGAAGAGACGGCAGAGGCAACGGAGUCCCAACAAGGUAACAUAUAAUCGAGAAAAAUAGAUCAAUCAAUUUCUCGUGAAAAGUUUGCUGAAGCUAUUAUUGAGCAUUAUUUUCCUUAUUCUUUUGCUGAAUAUAAAAAAAAUUAGAGCCUGGGCAGAUUAUGUAAAUCCAGAAAUAAUAAUGCCGUCAAGGAACAUUGCUGUUGUGGAUGUCCAAAAAGUGUAUUUCAAGGAGAAAGAAAAAUUAAGACAAGCCUUGGCUAAGAUUCCUAAUCGAGUUUGCUUAACUUCUGAUUGCUGGACAACACGUACAUUUGAGGAUUAUCUUUGUUUAACUGCUCAAUAUUUACUAAAAUUUUAAACUUUUGUCGUAUGAUUUCUCCUCAUACUAGAGUUGAAUUGGCUGCAACGAUAUAUGAGCAUUGAUAGGAAGGUGUUCUCGAUCACUUUGGAUAAUGUCACUAAUAAUGAUAGCCUGCAAACUAUUUUAAAAGGCCAUCUUCAUUUGCAAAAGAAUUUAUUAUGUGAUGAUGAGUUUUUUCAUGUGCGUUGUUCUGCUCAUAUUUUUAAUUUGAUUAUCUAAGAAGAUUUAAAAAUAGCUACUGAUGCCUUGUUUAGAAUCGGAGAAAGUGUGAUGUAAAAGGAUCUGAUAGUAGAAUGUGAAAAUUUAAACAAUGUGUUAAGCAAGUGGAAAUUAAUACAAAUUUGAAUUUAUGUUUGGAUGUAAUAACCAGAUGGAACUCAAUGUAAUUGAUGCUUGAGAGUGCACUACAAUAUGAAAAAACUUUUUCUAGUUUACAGUUGAUUGACAGGAACUACUCUCUUUGUCCAACAUUUGAUCAUCAGAGAAGGGCAGAAAAAAUAUUUGAAUUCUUGAAACCUUUUUAUAAAAUAACUAACUUGAUUUUUGGUUCAAGUUAUCCAACUUUCAACUUGUAUUUUAUGCAAGUUUAAAAAAUUGAAUGUUUACUGAAGGAGAAUUCAAGUAGUUUGGAUGAAGUUAUUAGGGAAAUGACUACAAGAAUGUUCAAAAAUACUGGAAUAGAUUUAGUCUAGUACUCUCAUUUGGAGCUAUUCUUGAUCGUCGCUUCAAGAUGCAACUUUUAGAAUUUUGUUUCUCAAAGGUGGAUGCGUCUUCGGCAAAAGAAAAAGUUGCAGAUAUUGAGAAAAAAUUGUAUAAGCUUUAUGAACAAUAUGAAAAUAAUCAAAUUCGGACAACUAUUCAUGUUCAAAGCAAACCAACUGGAGAAGGAAGUCAAUUCAAAUAAAGAAGUCCACUUUGUUUGCUGUAAGUAUUAAUUUUAUUUUCUUUUAUCUAAUCUUCUUGUCCUUAACCUUACGGCAAAACAAUGCCAAACACAACAUACCAUAAAUCCAUAAAUCUGAAAAAAAAAAAAAGUAAAAAAAGAUUAGAUAAAAGAAAAAAAAAUUAAUACUUACAACAAAUAAAGUGGACUUCUUUUGUUGGAAUUGACUUUCUUCUUCAGUUAGUUUUUGAACAGGAGUAGUCCGAAUUUGAUUAUUUUCAUAUUAUUCAUAGAGCUUGUGCAAUUUUUUUUCAAUCUUUGCAACUUUUUCUUUUGCCGAAGACGCAUCCAUCUUUAAGAAACAAAAUUCUAAAAGUUGUGUCUUGAGGCGAGGAUCAAGAAUAGCUCAAAAUGAGAGUACUAGACUAAAUCUAUUUCAGUAUUUCUAAAACUUUUUGAACAUUCUUGUAGUCAUUUCCCAAAUAACUUCAUCCAAACUACUUGAAUUCUCAUUCAGAAAGCAUUCAAUUUUUCAAACUUGCAUAAAAUACAAGUUGAAAGUUGGAUAACUUGAACCAGAAAUCAAGUUAGUUAUUUCAUAAAAAGGUUCCAAGAAUUCAUAUAUUUUUUCUGCCCUUCUCCAAUGAUCAAAUAUAGGACAAAGAGAGUAGUUCCUGUCAAUCAACUGUAGAUUAGAAAAAGUUUUUUCAUAUUGUAGUGCACUCUCAAGCAUCAAGUACAUUGAGUUCCAUGUGGUUAUCACAUCCAAACGUAAACCCAAAUUUGUACUAAUUCCCACUUGCUUAACAUAUUGUUCAAAUUUUUUCAUUCUACUAUCAGAUUCUUUUACAUACUUCACACUUUUUCUGAUUCUAAACGAGACAUCAGUAGCUGUUUUUAAACCUUCUUGGACAAUUAAAUUAAAAAUAUGAGCAGAACAACGCACAUGAAAAAACUCACCAUCACAUAAUAAACUCUUAAGCAAAUCAAGAUGGACUUUAAAAAUAGUUUGCAGGCUGUCAUUAUUAGUGACAUUAUCCAAAGUGAUAGAGAACACCUUCCUAUCAAUGCCCCACUCCAUCAAACAAUCAUAUAUAUCGUUGCAGCCAAUUCAACUCAAUUCAACUCCAGUAUGAGGAAAAAUCAUAUGACAAAAGUUUAAAAUUUUAGUAACUAACUUUCAAUUAUCAUCAACAUAUUGAGCUGUUAAAUAAAGAUAACCCUCAGACCUACCUGUUGUCCAGCUAUCAGAAGUUAAGCAAACUCGAUUAGGAAUCUUGGCCAACGCUUGUCUUUAACUUUUCUUUCCCCUUGAAAUACACUUUUUGGACAUCCACAACAACAGUGUUUCUUGACGGCAUUAUUAUUUUUGAAUUUACAUAAUCUGCCCAGGCUCUAAUUUUUUUAUAUUCAACAAAAGAAUAAGGCAAAUCAUGCUCAAUAAUAGCUUCAGCAAGCUUUUCACGAGAAAUCGAUUGACCUAUUUUUUCAUGAGAAAUCAUGCUGAUCCAUAUACAUCUAACCCAAAUCAUGAUAUUUGAU
RNAcentral lists this long non-coding RNA (3033 nucleotides) under Capsicum annuum. RNAcentral's name for it is "long non-coding RNA (CANN_LNC008922)". The record is from RNAcentral. Lineage: Eukaryota; Viridiplantae; Streptophyta; Magnoliopsida; Solanales; Solanaceae.